Molecule: long non-coding RNA, 1351 nt
Organism: Homo sapiens (human)
Lineage: Eukaryota; Metazoa; Chordata; Mammalia; Primates; Hominidae
Gene: BMS1P1
Product: BMS1 pseudogene 1
Source: Ensembl
GUCCAAGCGGACCUAAGGAGUCGCAGUUGUGAACAGGUUAGAGUUACUUGUUAUUGGUAAAUAGCCACUAUGGAGACUAAGGACCAGAAGAAACACAGAAAGAAAAACAGUGGACCCAAAGCUGCAAAGAAAAAGAAGUGGCAUCUGCAGGAUCUCCAGCUAGGAGACGAAGAAAAUGCCCAGAAGAGAAAUGCCAAUGCUUUUGCAGUUCAGUCUGCUGUGUGGAUGUCUCGAUCCUUUCACAGGACUCUGGAUUUGAAGACACAAAAGCAUCAUAUUCCAGUGGUUGAUGGAACUCCACUAGAGCCGCCACCAAUAGCGGUAGUGGUGACGGGGCCUCCAAAGUUGGAAAGAGCACUUUGAUAUAAUGCCUCAUUCGGAACUUCACCUGGCAGAAGUUCACCGAGAUCAGAGGCCCUGUGACGAUCGUGUCAGGUAAAAAGCGCAGACUCACCAUUAUUGAAUGUGGGUGUGACAUUAACAUGAUGAUUGAUCUGGCUAAAGUAGCAGAUCUGGUUGCCAAACUGUUCUACCUUUCUGGAAUGGUGCAUGGAGAAUAUCAAAACCAAGAAAUCCACAAUCUGGGCCAUUUUAUUACAGUUAUGAAGUUUAGGCCUCUCAUGGCAAACUUUUCACCCUUAUAUCCUGGCAGACAGUUAAAAGGAUGGAAGAUUUGACAAACCCGGAGGAUAUCCAAACAAACAUCAAAUGUGACCUGCAGGUGUCACUUUAUGGUUAUUUAAGAGGAGCACACUUGAAAAAUAAAAGCCAAAUUCACAUGCCAGGACAAGGUGGGGCUCACCCAUGAGCUGGUCCAGAGUCUCAUCUCCACCUACUCCACCAUUGAUGCCAAGAUGGCUUCAAGUCGAGUGAUGCUGCUUUCCAAUUCCAAACCACUUGGGUCAGAGGCUAUAGAUAAUCAAGGGUGAGUGGUGUCAUUGAGCAAACACAAAGUCGGGCUCAUCCAAGGAUGAGAUUUUGCCAGAGAAAGGACGAGCAGCAAGUCAGGGAGCUUAAGUCUAGCCAGGUGCAGUGGCUCACGCCUGUAAUCCCAGACUUUGGGAGGCCGAGGCCGGCGGAUCACGAAGUCAAGAGAUGGAGACCAUCCUGGCUAACACGUUGAAACCCCGUCUUUACUAAUAAUACAAAAAAUUAGCUGGACAUGGUAACGGGUGCCUGUAGUCCCAGCUAAUCAGGAGGCUGAGGCAGGAGAAUGGCAUGAACCCAGGAGGCAGAGGUUGCAGUGAGCCGAGAUCGUGCCACUGCACUCCAGCCUGGGUGACAGAGCAAGACUCCAUCUCAAAAAAAAAAAAAAAAAAAAUUAUGUUAAAAUAAAGGUCAUCAAAAGAUA